UACGUAGGGUGCAAGCGUUAAUCGGAAUUACUGGGCGUAAAGCGUGCGCAGGCGGCUUUGCAAGACAGAUGUGAAAUCCCCGGGCUUAACCUGGGAACUGCAUUUGUGACUGCAUGGCUGGAGUGCGGCAGAGGGGGAUGGAAUUCCGCGUGUAGCAGUGAAAUGCGUAGAUAUGCGGAGGAACACCGAUGGCGAAGGCAAUCCCCUGGGCCUGCACUGACGCUCAUGCACGAAAGCGUGGGGAACAAACAGG
RNAcentral lists this ribosomal RNA (253 nucleotides) under uncultured bacterium. RNAcentral's name for it is "partial 16S ribosomal RNA". It matches the Rfam family "Bacterial small subunit ribosomal RNA", at positions 524 to 776 of the family's 1533-position model. The record is from RNAcentral.